Molecule: transfer RNA, 71 nt
Filed under: Macaca fascicularis (crab-eating macaque)
Lineage: Eukaryota; Metazoa; Chordata; Mammalia; Primates; Cercopithecidae
Description: tRNA-Gln
Source: RNAcentral
AGGAUAGAGUGUGUGGGGUAGCACGGAGAACUUUGGAUUCUCAGGGGUGGGUUCGAUACCUACAAUCCUAG